Molecule: non-coding RNA, 276 nt
Filed under: Acetohalobium arabaticum
Lineage: Bacteria; Bacillati; Bacillota; Clostridia; Halanaerobiales; Halobacteroidaceae
Description: T-box sequence
Rfam family: T-box leader
About the family: Uncharged tRNA acts as the effector for transcription antitermination of genes in the T-box leader family. T-boxes are found upstream of many aminoacyl-tRNA synthetase genes and some amino acid biosynthetic genes usually in Gram-positive bacteria.
Source: RNAcentral
UCAAAAGUGUUGAAAGGGGCAAGUAAGUUAUUUAAUUCUAUCUUUAGCGAGCUGGGAUUGGUGAAAGCCAGCGAUAGAAGGAAUAAUUGAAAUCCCCCUGGAGCUGCAGAUUGAACGGUGAUUCCAAGUAGGUUGUGCCGGCUAGUAUCCGUUAUCCAGUACUGGAGUAUGGAGCAUAUCUGAACUUUAGAUAUGUGAGUACUUACUAAGGCUAUUGCUGUAAGGCAAUGGCAAAUUUGGGUGGUACCACGUGAGCUUAAACCUCUCGUCCCGAUU